AGGACGACGAUGACUGUUGCGGACUUACUGGUCGCUUUUUACAGGAGCAGCUUGUGUUUCGUUGACGAGUGGCGGACGGGUGAGUAAUGUCUGGGAAGCUGCCUGAUGGAGGGGGAUAACUACUGGAAACGGUAGCUAAUACCGCAUAAUGUCGCAAGCCCAAAGAGGGGGACCUUCGGGCCUCUUGCCAUCGGAUGCGCCCAGAUGGGAUUAGCUUGUUGGUGGGGUAACGGCUCACCAAGGCGACGAUCCCUAGCUGGUCUGAGAGGAUGACCAGCCACACUGGAACUGAGACACGGUCCAGACUCCUACGGGAGGCAGCAGUGGGGAAUAUUGCACAAUGGGCGCAAGCCUGAUGCAGCCAUGCCGCGUGUAUGAAGAAGGCCUUCGGGUUGUAAAGUACUUUCAGCGGGGAGGAAGGGAGUAAAGUUAAUACCUUUGCUCAUUGACGUUACCCGCAGAAGAGCACCGGCUAACUCCGUGCCAGCAGCCGCGGUAAUACGGGAGGGUGCAAGCGUUAAUCGGAAUUACUGGGCGUAAAGCGCACGCAGGCGGUUUGUUAAGUCAGAUGUGAAAUCCCCGGGCUCAACCUGGGAACUGCAUCUGAUACUGGCAAGCUUGAGUCUCGUAGAGGGGGGGUAGAAUUCCAGGCGUAGCGGUGAAAUGCGUAGAGAUCUGGAGGAAAUACCGGUGGCGAAGGCGGCCCCCUGGACGAAAGACUGACGCUCAGGUGCGAAAGCUGUGGGGAGCAAACAGGAUUAGAUACCUCUGGCUAGUCCAACGCGUAUACGAUGUCGACUUGGAGGUUGUGCCCUUGGAGCGUGGCUUCCGGAGCUAACGCGUUAGUCGACCGCUUGGUGAGUACGGCCGCAAGUUAAAUCUCAGA
This 886-nucleotide ribosomal RNA is filed under the name uncultured bacterium. Its description in RNAcentral is "bacterial SSU rRNA". It matches the Rfam family "Bacterial small subunit ribosomal RNA", at positions 1 to 905 of the family's 1533-position model. The record is from RNAcentral.